UAUACAGCGAAACUGCGAAUGGCUCAUUAUAUAAGUUAUCGUUUAUUUGAUAGUGCCUUACUACUUGGAUAACCGUGGUAAUUCUAGAGCUAAUACAUGCUAAAAACCCCGACUUCGGAAGGGGUGUAUUUAUUAGAUACAAAACCAAUGCCCUUCGGGGCUCCUUGGUGAUUCAUGAUAACUAUACGAAUCGCACGGCCUUGCGCCAGCGAUGGUUCAUUCAAAUUUCUUCCCUAUCAACUUUCGAUGUUUGGGUAUUGGCCAAACAUGGUUGCAACGGGUAACGGAGGGUUAGGGCUCGACCCCGGAGAAGGAGCCUGAGAAACGGCUACUACAUCCAAGGAAGGCAGCAGGCGCGCAAAUUACCCAAUCCCGACUCGGGGAGGUAGUGACAAUAAAUACUGAUACAGGGCCCUUUCGGGCCUUGUAAUUGGAAUGAGUACAAUUUAAAUCCCUUAACGAGGAACAAUUGGAGGGCAAGUCUGGUGCCAGCAGCCGCGGUAAUUCCAGCUCCAAUAGCGUAUAU
Molecule: ribosomal RNA, 526 nt
Filed under: uncultured eukaryote
Lineage: Eukaryota
Description: SSU rRNA
Rfam family: Eukaryotic small subunit ribosomal RNA
Source: RNAcentral